This is an RNA transcript of Bombyx mori (domestic silkworm), 2235 nucleotides long. It is a transcript of the gene named E3 ubiquitin-protein ligase znrf2, with no coding region annotated. The transcript has 4 exons. The record is from RefSeq and is a predicted model, not a curated record. Lineage: Eukaryota; Metazoa; Arthropoda; Insecta; Lepidoptera; Bombycidae.
CCAGAGUGUUGUUUAGGCGCAAGCUCGUCUCAUAUGUCUUAAGACAAUCUGUCAAAAUUUUGCAGAAGUGUAGAGCCUGUUUACAAUCUUGCGACGUUUCUGCAAAGAGUAAAGUGAUAUCGUUUUGUCGUAGGUAUUUCAAGUGCUAAUUUAAUUAAUCGCGCAAUUGUUUCCGUGCUUCGUACGAUGCGUUCGGCCGGUGCGUCGGCCGAAUCGCGCGAGUUCUCGUGAUCUUCAGUUUCAGUGCAUGACAUAUUCGAGAUUUGCGUAACGGAGUCGUUAUGGGUGCAAAGGCGAGCACUGCGAACGGGGGGCAGAGUCCUCGCGCAAGGACAUUCUCGACUAGCUCCGGGUCGGACGUGGUGUCGGGCGCGGCAGGGUUUAGCUUGUUGCGAGCCAUCCCAGGAAUUCAAGUGUCGAAUGACCGGCAGCGCGCUCGGUCUCUGUCUUCAGUGCCGGACCUGCACGCUUCUCACGAAGCAAUAGCCAUACCCCCGAACUCGCAGAGCUAUGAGGCUUCUGCAGCUGCGAGCCCCGACACAGAUUCUAGUUCAAAUGAGGAAACUGGUGCCGGACCGGCGGCGUCGCUGGCUCUGGGCCGUGUUUACGCAGCGCACUCCUUGCCUUCACAUAUUUGGUCAAUAAAUGGUAUAAAAUGUCCGGUGUGCAGCAAGUUCGUUUUACCGGACGACAUAGAGUGCCAUCUCGUAAUGUGCCUGACGAGGCCACGUCUAUCUUAUAAUGAGGAUGUUCUGAGCGACUCGAAAGGCGAAUGUGUAAUAUGCCUCGAGGAGCUGUCCGCGGGCGACACUAUCGCCCGUCUGCCGUGCCUCUGCAUCUAUCAUAAAGGGUACGUUUCCUAUUGUUAAAACUCAAUUUAAAUUUGAAUGUAUGAAAGGAAUUGAUGUAGAAGUAACUUCGUGGUAGCUCAGAUAAUGCUGAUGCAUGUGAACCACGUCGAUUAAUUCACUAGUAAUCAAACAUUCUGUAUACUAGCGGCAAACGUAGGGGCGCUGUUCCAACUCCAUACAAAUUUGAGUUAACUUUUACGCUAUCGAGAACGUUAAAAAACUCGCACUAAGCACACUGUUCAAAAGCAGCUCUACAGGUGGCAGUCUCAAUUGUGUAGCAAUUUCGCCGCUAAGAUCGGAACGUGGGAUUACUUCGGGGCAGAAGUAGACAAGACGGUGGUACUAACCCGUGUAUCUAAAAACUAUUCAAUUUAUUGUGCUUAUUUGAUUCAGUCCCCUGUACCCAUACAAAAUUAUCAAUAAUUGAAAAUGUAAAAUGAAAAAAGGACAAGAUCCUUUUUAUUGCUUAUACAGUUGGAUUAGCUUAUCGUCCACUUGAUGUUAGUGCUUAAGCUUAAGACAAUAGCAAGGUAAAUUCCGCCACCCACUUUAAGACAUGAGUUCUUAGAAUAUCAGUUUUAACAGUACAACGGCUUCAAACCGAAACGCAUAACUGCUUCGCGGCACCAAUAUUAAAAUUUGAGCUGUUAUUUUGAUUAAAUAACUUAGAGGUAUGAUAGUUUUUUUACUAGCCGUGUAGGUAUAUAGUUCUUGACACUUCCACAAUAUAAGUUCUAAGGUCUCAAGUAUAGUUACAACGGCUGCCCCACCCUUCAAACCGAAACGCAUUACUGCUUCACGGCAGAAAUAGGCAGGGUGGUGGUACCCACCCGCGCGGACUCACAAGAGGUCCUACCACCAGUAAUAUGUCGUUCUCUCUUGAUUCCAGGUGCAUAGAUCAAUGGUUCGAAGUGAACAGGUCGUGUCCGGAGCACCCCGGCGACUAGUGCGCCGUCUAGUGCGCUCAAACAGACUGUGACGCCAGAGGGCAUUGUAAAUAUUAAUAAAAAAAACAAAAGAAAACUUAUGCUAGUGAGACGUUUACCAUUUAAUGAAUUUAAACAAUAACAAAAUAAUAUUAAUAAUAAUGAUAAUAAUAAAAAUUAUUAACAAAGACAAUUAUAGGAAACAAAAAUUAAUAUUAAAAAAAAUGAAAAAAAAAGUUGGGAAAUUCUCGGUGGAUUAUUUAUAAUUUAGUAAUAUUGUCGUUUUAGUUGAGUAACUCGUGCACUCCGUGCCGUGCGUGUGGUAGUGACGUCACCGGGUCGCGCGAAACGACCCGCUUCGGUUUACAUAUCUCUGCCUGUAAGCUUAUCGUUUAUAUAUUGUAUGAUUUCAUCUUUUUCAUCUUCAUAAAUAAAACUUUAUUUGUUUCUAAAUUUUA